CCUACGGGGGGCAGCAGUGGGGAAUAUUGGGCAAUGGACGCAAGUCUGACCCAGCAACGCCGCGUGAAGGAAGAAGGCUUUCGGGUUGUAAACUUCUUUUAAGGGGGAAGAGCAGAAGACGGUACCCCUUGAAUAAGCCACGGCUAACUACGUGCCAGCAGCCGCGGUAAUACGUAGGUGGCAAGCGUUGUCCGGAUUUACUGGGUGUAAAGGGCGUGCAGCCGGGAAGACAAGUCAGAUGUGAAAUCCCGCGGCUCAACCGCGGAACUGCAUUUGAAACUGUUUUUCUUGAGUAUCGGAGAGGUAAUCGGAAUUCCUAGUGUAGCGAUGAAAUGCGUAGAUAUUAGGAGGAACACCAGUGGCGAAGGCGGCCUGCUGGGCUUUUACUGACGCUGAGGCUCGAAAGCGUGGGUAGCAAACAGGAUUAGAUACCCGGGUAGUC
RNAcentral lists this ribosomal RNA (442 nucleotides) under uncultured bacterium. RNAcentral's name for it is "partial 16S ribosomal RNA". It matches the Rfam family "Bacterial small subunit ribosomal RNA", at positions 338 to 795 of the family's 1533-position model. The record is from RNAcentral.